Molecule: long non-coding RNA, 393 nt
Filed under: Phasianus colchicus (ring-necked pheasant)
Lineage: Eukaryota; Metazoa; Chordata; Aves; Galliformes; Phasianidae
Description: lncRNA (ENSPCLG00000017112.1)
Source: RNAcentral
GGGAGCGCGGUGUGGGGCAGGACGCCUUGGGGCAGGGCGGAAGCACUGUGUGGGGUCGGGAGUUGUGGGGCGGGGCGCCAUGGGGCAGAGAAGGAGCGCGGUGUGGGGCGGGGUGCUAUGGGGCGGGGCCGGAGCGCUGGGUGGUCCGGGCGCUAUGGGGCUGCAGCUCUAUGGGGCGGGGAGCUAUGGGGCAGGGCUCUAUGGGGCAGGGCGCUAUGGGGCAGGGCGCUGUGGGGCAGGGCGUCACCCACAUUUACACAACCACCCAGCCGUGACAUCGGGCAUCGCACGGGGGAACCCGGACGGACGGACGGACGGACGGAUGUGGGGACAGGAGGAUGGAGGGACAGACGGACACAGGGAUGCGGGGAAAGGACAGACUGACAGACGGGG